RNAcentral lists this ribosomal RNA (490 nucleotides) under uncultured bacterium. RNAcentral describes it as "partial 16S ribosomal RNA". It matches the Rfam family "Bacterial small subunit ribosomal RNA", at positions 30 to 507 of the family's 1533-position model. The record is from RNAcentral.
AUUGAACGCUGGCGGCAGGCCUAACACAUGCAAGUCGAACGGUAACAGGAAGCAGCUUGCUGCUUCGCUGACGAGUGGCGGACGGGUGAGUAAUGUCUGGGAAGCUGCCUGAUGGAAGGGGAUCACUACUGGAAACGGUAGCUAAUACCGCAUAAUGUCGCAAGACCAAAGAGGGAGACCUUCGGGCCUCUUUCCAUCGGAUGUGCCCAGGUGGGAUUCGUGUGUGGGUGGGGUUACGGCUCACAAAGGCGGCGAACCCUAGCUGGGCUGAGAGGCUGACCCGCCACGCCGGAACUGAGGCGCGGUCCAGAAUCCUACGAGUGACAGCAGUGGGGAAUAUUGACCGAUGGGAGCAAGGCUGAUGCAGGCAUGACGCGUGUAUGAAGAAGGCCUUCGGGUUGUAAAGUACUUUCAGCGGGGAGGAAGGGAGUAAAGUUAAUACCUGUGCACAUUGACGUUACCCGCAGAAGAAGCACCGGCUAACUCCGUG